RNAcentral lists this transfer RNA (75 nucleotides) under Thiothrix nivea. Its description in RNAcentral is "tRNA-Gln". It matches the Rfam family "tRNA". From Rfam's summary of the family: Transfer RNA (tRNA) molecules are approximately 80 nucleotides in length. Their secondary structure includes four short double-helical elements and three loops (D, anti-codon, and T loops). Lineage: Bacteria; Pseudomonadati; Pseudomonadota; Gammaproteobacteria; Thiotrichales; Thiotrichaceae. The record is from RNAcentral.
UGGGCCGUCGCCAAGUGGUAAGGCACCGGGUUUUGAUCCCGGCAUGCGUAGGUUCGAGUCCUACCGGCCCAGCCA